AAGAUUCAGAUUAUACUCUCAGUGUUUUUGGUAUUAUCAUUUUACUUGAGAAAGUACACACUGACACAAGCGUACAGAUAUGACCAAAUGGGAAACAACAAUACUAGAACACAAGUUUAUCUAACAUGUAUCAGAGAAAAGAGACAUGAAUAUAGGACAGAAGAUAGAUUUUUCAUCACAAACACACACAUGUUUAUAUAGCACAUGUACUGGAGCUACAUGGAUGACUGAAUACAUUUCUGCAAUAAGGAACAAAUAUACAGGGAUGAACACAUCCAUAUGCUAGCAGAAUAGUAAUACAUAGAAGCACAUUCUAAUAGAUCAAUUAUCUCCCAAAUUAACAAGGCCUCAACUAGUCAGAUCCAACAUAACAAGUACUUUAUUAUAGAGGUACUAAACUGAACAAAUAACAAGUUGCUAGAACUUGUCAAGUCUGAACAUUACAUAACCCUGAACAUUACAAAAUUCUAAACAUUACACUUCUAAAGUUUACAGCAGUUUGAGAUAAGAGGGAGAGAGAGCUUCAGGUUCAGAAGAGAAGCAAGAACCAGUAGUAGAGGCGUAGGGAACAGGAGCAGCUGGCGCAAGUGAGGAGUAGCAAUGGAGCUUGGAGAAGCAGCAGGUUGAGGCACUAUGAGAGGAUUAGGAGGAGGAGCAGUAGGAACUGAGACGUAGGGUGGGAAGAGAAACAGCAGCAGGCACUAGGAGAGGGAGAGAGAUUCAGCAGCAGGUGGUUAGAGAAAGAAGAAGCAGCAGCGGGGGCAUGGAGAAGAGAGAAGCAGCAGGGGGUUCAGAGAAAGCUUCAUCAGAGGCGCAUCAUGCAGUUUGGAGAUGGAGAAGGAGUUCGGGUUCAGGGGAGAAACAACGGAGGUGAGGAAUAAGAGGGUAGCAGUAGGAGGAGUGGAGGAUGGUGUGGUGGCGCUGGAUAUGGUGAUGGAUGGUGUGCGACGACGGUGCUGGAGAUGGUGAUGGAUGGUGCGAUGGUUCGAGGUGGUGAUGCGGCGCUGGCAGCGGCAGGUGGUGAAGAUGGAGUGGAUGAUGGAGUGGUGGCUGGAUGGAUGGCGCGCCGCCAUGACGGCCUGGCCGCGACGGCGGCCGGAGGGUGGAGAAGAAGGGGAUCGGGGGAGAGAGAUGGAGAUAUGCCAGGCCCGAAAGGGGACCGGGGCUGCUUCUAGGGAUUUUGGCCCUCUCCUCAGAUCUGCACUUUUGCACUUGGGCCCUUCUACUUCUCUGCUUACUUCACAACUUGAUCCCUCCACUCUUUCUUUCUUGCUCUUGAAGCUUUAAUAUUCAUCACACUCAAGUCCCUCUUCCUUCUCUUCUUUCAUAUGCUCAUCUCGGUUGCCACAUGGGCAGGAACUUGAAGAUUUAUAGUGCCUUUGCGCACACUUCUGCAAAAUAGACCAAAGACUAGUAAAUGAUCCUUUAUAUGAUUUUCAUGCAAAUAUUCAAUAUUUCACAGCAAGAAUUGAUGGUCAUAUCUCAAUAAACCGCAUAUUUGAGUGCCAAAAGAUGUAUAUGAAAUGUGCUUAUCACAUCAUCAACUUAGUAGAUGAUUGCUUGCCUCCAAAGCACAGCCUCCAACUCCGAGCCAUUUAACCUCAGCAACCUCUCAAAGUUACUGAUCAGAAACUUACCAAACGUGUGAAAUCUUUUCUACUGCAUCUGGAGUCAAACCAAAGCGUGGUAAUCUUAGAAACUACCAUGAACAACAAGCCAGACAUGAUCUUUGGACGUUGGUCAGCCUCAGGAUGGAGUUCACGCGGUGACCACGCGUGUCCAUGAUGCCAGCCUGCGUGUCGACGCGCUCUGAGUGCCGCCGAGCGCUCUAUUUCACGCGUGCUUGCUUCCCCGACUGCCAUGGCAUGCCAAACCGCACCACCAUCUUCGUCCGAACUCCCUUAACUCCCCCUGGCACUUGCUGACGCCGGAGCUCGCCGCAAUGGGCACGGACGCGGUCCGACCAACAUAACAGUGCGGUGCACACUAUGCUCGUCGCCUUCUCCUCGAUCCUGUGCUCGUCUCUGUUCGCCCACAGUCCCUGCGUGAGUUGCGUCGCCUUCUUCUUUUCUCACUGACGCCGCUCGUGGCCGAGCGCAUUGUCCAAGUGUCACCGGCGGAGCCCGAUCCACUCCUCGCCGCUCUCCUAUAAAUGGAGCCACCCCCAGCCUCCUCGAACACCAUCCUCCACUCCCACACACUCCACAAACGUGUAGAUAGCCAUAGCCUGACCGGGCAGGCCACGGGCCGCCAUCCCCGAGCUCGAGCUCGCCGGCGAUCCUCUCGGGUCGCCACGGUAGCUCCAGCCCCUCCCAGGCCUAGGCGACCCUUCCAGAGCCUCCGCCGCUCUUCGGUGAAGCCGUUCCGUCCGCUUGGAGCCCGUGGAGUCCCCGCAAUUCGCCAUCAUCUUCGUCUCCGGCGACCUCCGCUCUCUGCCUCCGCUUGCAAGGUCGAAUCCGACGCCGUCCAACCACCCAUAGCUACGCUACGGGUACGAACAGGUGUGCCUCGAUCCCCUCUCUCAAUCCCUCCCUCUCGUUUUGGCCAAGGAGCCCACGUCGCCGGCGUGAGCUCCAGUGAAGCCGUGACCCCCUCUGUUUCCUUCUCCCCAUCCACCUCACCUGACUAGCAGGGCCCGCUAGUCAGACCCCAGUAUGCGCGCGAAGCGGUAUGAGUGGUGGCUUCCCGAGGCUUUACGCCUUCGACGUCACGCCCUAGUUUGUUUUAUCUAAAUUCAAAUUCAAUUAAUUUCUAGAGAGCUUCAAACAGCUAUAACUCUUCAACCAUAAGUCCAAAUGAAUUGAUUCUUUUUGCAUUGUGUUCUUUGCAAAGAAAUCUAACAGCUCACCAAAAAUGAGAUUUUUCUGGGCUGUCUAGAAUUUCUGGCGAUUUUCAGAAUGGUUCUUGAUAUUUUCUUCUUGUGUUUAAAAUUAUUUUCAGAGGGUGAGGCUUGUCUUGAGGAUCACCAGAAGGCUUGUGAACCUCAUCUCCACUAAGGCAAGCCACAACAACAUUUUCACGGUGCCAUUUCAAUAUUUAUUAUUUUCUUACUUUAAUGAAAGAUUCAAACUUUGCAUUUAAAUAACUAUUAUGUUAUUGAUAUUCUGUUAAGUACUUGUUUUAGUUAAUAUGCUUGAUUUACACAAUGUUUGAAACUAACUUAGUUGAUAAAGAAACUAGGAUUCAUUUGCGAUGAUAAAAGAAUAACAUUGUUAUGAAUAUGAGAAAUUACUUGAAGUUAUUUUCUUGCAUGAGUAAAAUAAUAAAAAUUUGCUAGAAAAUAUUAUGUUUAAAGUGAGGAUUAUCUUAAACAGAAAAGUGGCAUGAGUUGUUGAUGUUUAUGCUUAGUGUGAAUAUAGUUGACUCAGUCAUUUCCGUUAAUAUGUGAUGCAUAUGUUAGUGCUGCAUUUCAUGGCAUACUAUGACACCGGCUAUUUUUACUUUAAGUUGAACCUGAAUAUAACUCAACUUGAAUAUAUCAUUGGCCGGGUCAUGGUGCCACUGAAUCGAGUUUUUCCCAGUGCAACCUCAUUUGCCUUAUGGGGGGCCUUGAUUCGGUCCGUUGCCAUGCCUCUGGUCGGUGCCUCCAACUAGGGAAGGUUAUGGGCAUGCUUACCCUGGCAUGAUAAGCAGUCAUAACCUCGUGUGCCCGUUGUUGAGAUUAUGGUACCGGGUUCCCUUGUGGGAUCGUUUUGGCCACGAUGGUGGUCGUUGUGUCUUUGGUAGACACGGGGCCACCAAGAACUAGCCCAGUGGGGAUUGUGUCGGAGUGGUCGGGUGAGUGUCAUGGCAAUGGAGAGGUUCGUCGGAACACCGUUGGUCCACCCGAAUGGGCGUAUGAGGCCAUGGGUUCCUGAUGUGGGUAUAGUGUGCUACCUCUCCAGAGUGUAAUAAUCUAUCGAUAGCCCAGUCCACAGUUACGGACACGCUCGUAGUAGGUCACACCAUGGGUCAACGUUUAAUAAACUUUGCACACUAAGUUAUGAACUUUGCACUAUUGAUGGUGGAGGAAAGCCAUCGAGAUGUUCGAGACCAAGUAUUGGUCGUGGUUGUGAUCGCCGUAAGGAUCACAAGGUACUUCUAGACAAGACCACGAUGGUGGUGUGUUUGUGAUCCAAGAGUGAUCACGGUUGGUAAGCUAGUCCCGAGGGACUUUUAUCACAAGAUCAUGAUCACAUCAUGUUGAAGCAUUAUUGCAUUAUUAACUGGUUAAUUAUCAUGAUAUUGUUUGUCAUUACGAUUAUGCCUGUUGUGAGCUUGCAAGUACAUUCAAUGUACUGACCUGGCGUGUCAUGCUAGAUUUCAGGAAAGUCUCGUUGGAAAGGAGUGCUGCUCGAAUCUAGAUCAUGUCCACAUUAGUGUCCCUGUGCUAUGGAGUCUCCGCUACAACGUCGUUCCGCUGCCGCGUAGUAUUAUGAUCAAGGCCCUCUUUCAGUUCACUAAAUAAUGUACAUAUUGUGUAGCCGCACCAUGUGUGCCGCUUGGCCUCGACACCUGUUGUAAUAUAAACUAUGAUCCGCUAGCAUCAAUAAAGCGGUUGCUUUCUGUACCAAGAUGUUGUGUGUUGCCAGAAGACAUGGUCUCUGGGCUGGCAAUGCAGGGUAAACCGGUCGCUCUGAGCCGAGGUGCCACAAUGCUUGGUAUCAGAGCCGUGCUGAUUGUAGGCCACACUAGACUUCGACGUGUUAACUGGACGGUAGAUACGAGUCUAAGUUGAGUGCCGGUAGCAUUUGUAGCUGGUUGUUGCAUUGCAUGCACUUGUUUUAUUUUUAUGCUAACCUGCUAAUGGUUGUGAGUGUAGAUGGCUCCGGUGCCAUAUCCGUGCCAGUUGCAGCCGAUGCCGUACACGUCGCCGCAUCUUCUUCGUAAUGUGUGGCGUCGGCUGUACCCCCUCAGUGACGACCUAGUUUAUCGUGUGUACUGGGAGCGUCUAGCUGACUCAGUGUAUGAGUAUCACGCAGUGGUUACUCUGCGCACUAGUUCCGAUUCCAGCACUUACACUCGUACCUCUCGGAGCGGUUUCGCUUCUACCGCUUCUCAGGCUGUCCAGUUUGCUCCAUUCGAGGUCCUUGUCAAGCUUCAUUACAACGAGGUCCAGAUGCAGAACCACUCAGGUUUCUACUACUAUCCUUCUCUACACGGCAAUGGUCGUGUCCGUUUCUCUACCAUUGAUCCGGAGUCUGAUAGUGUUGCUAGCCAUCUUGCUCGUUAUAUCACCGCUAGUUAUCUUAUGAUCCACGAGCUGGCUCGAGUGCUGACUCGUGCUCAUACUGCUUUAGCCGCUGCUUUAGUCACUACUAAAUCUGCCACUACUCCCUCCUCUCUGGGAUUUACUCCUUAUAUUCCAGCCAGUUCUAGUUCCCCUAUUUCACCGGUUACUCCCCUGAGUAGCUCGGCCGCCUCGACGGUGAACCCUCUCAGUGCCCCUGCUGAGUGGGUUACACUUCUCUCUACUCCUGUGGCCCCGAUGAUUCAUCCUCCACCUGCCCUUGAGGGAGAGCCCUCUAGGCAGCGUGGUCGUGCUACCUUUAACCCGGAGGUUUCCGUUAACCUCGUCAGUUCAGGAUCCGAGUCCGCUUCAGGAGAGGACACCGCAGCACCAGCAGAGCAGUAGAGCCUCUGAGUAUCCGCAGUCGUUGGGAUGAUUUCCGGAUGUAGUAUUACGAGUCAUGAUGUUUUGUUGUCUGUAUGAGAGCAGUUGAACCUGGCAUGUUGGUUAUCUUUCAUGUGUGAGCCUAUGUAUAAUUAUGUUGGAACUCUAUUUUCUUCGCCGUGUUUUCUUCGUCAUUUUGGCUUUUCUCGGGCUUUCAUUGCUGGCUUUUGCCAAUUUAUUUUGAAUGGUUCUCAUUUCGGUUGCGUUGUAUUGGAAGAAAUCAUAAUAGGAUGAUGCAAGGAGGCAGGAGUAGCAACAUCCGUGAGGGAACUCCUGUUCGUCAUUCCGCACGACGGGCAGGACACUCUCCGGAGCCGUACGUUCCGCCACCGCCUCCACCACCAAAUCCGCCCUCCACCGAGAAAAUUCUGCGAAUGUUUGAGGAAAGACGGAAUAAUGAUCUGAUUGAAAUAUUAAGAAGUGUGCAAUCGAGCUGUCUGAGGAGGAGGCUGAUGCUGUCGAGCCCCCAGCCAUGGGGAAAGGGCGUGUCCUAUGGCGGGCCGUAUCCGGAGAGCCGGUCCGGUCCAGCAUGGCCACACAGCUGCAACAAACCCCGGAGGCUCCCAUGCGUCAGAUGAGGGCAGCGGCAGCGGGGAAGGUGGUGAAGGUCGCGGUGGCGAAGAAGAAAGCAGUUGCCCCUUCUCCGUCCAAGCGUUCCCCAACUCCACCUGCUUCCCCUCCUCCCACAGGGGACGACACGGAGGUCUUCUUCAACCUCGGAUCCCUUAGCCUGAGGAGGAAGAGGAAGGCAUCGGAAGAAGAAGUGGAGGAUUAGUAAGUGCCUCGACUUUUGUCAUCUCCAUCCCUUUGGACCGUGCUCUUUUCUUGACUUGUCUUCAUCUUGGCAAGGAUGCUGAGAAACUAGCCCAGAGGGUGAAGAGGGCCAGGUCUUCGGCGGGUGGCCAGCCCCCGGCAGACACUUCCGGUACACCACUGGUGGUGUUGAGCAGCCCGGAUAGCAGCCCCCGGCAAAACCCCCCAGCGUAAGCUCAUCACUCGCCUCGUCAACGUGUGUCGGGGGGACCAUCCUUGGCGCUGACUUUCCCAUGAUCGCAGGAGGAGGAAAACAGCAGGAGGAGCCACUAAGGGCUACCCCAAACAUGCCUCCUCCGUCAACCACACCGCCUCGAGGGGCUUCCCCAGCAAGGGCACCAAGCACCGAGCCCAUGCACAUGGAGGAGGAGGAGGAGGCAAGCUUGGGCACUAGUGGCCACACCUCAGCGCCAGAUGUUGGCAGGGAGGAGGCCUCUUCUUCCCAGCCUGGCACGGGUAAGACACUCGCCUUCUGCCCCUUUUCUUUUUUUCUUCUUUCUGGAUCUUGGCCCUGGCUUCGCCUCAUCCCCUUCUUGAUAUCCAGAUCCUCUCUCGGCGGAUCGGGAGGAUGCAGAUACCAUCGUCGAGGAUGUCGCCAAGGAGGCCGCGGCGGAGGCCGAGAAGAUCGCUGCCGAGGAGGCCGCCAAGGACACCGCUGAGGAUGCUACCAAGGGGCCUGCCGAGGAACCCGGUAGGUCUGCUGCCGAGGAGGCUUGCAAGGGGCCCCUAGGGAGGUCGGCAAGGCCGCUGCCGAGGAGGAGGUGGUUGACGACCAACCUUCCUCCUCCGUUGCCACUGGCUCGGGCCAAUACCUGAGGGUGAGCGACCACCUGUUCAUCCACCUCCCCGGAACAGCAAGCACCGGGGUGCCCGUCGAGGGGGAGGUGUUUGAUAAUGAGGUGCUCGCCGCCACCAGGCUUGAGGUUGUUGAUGAGCCAAGUGCCGGUGGCGGAGGUUGCCAGGAAGAGCGGCUCCUCCAGGCCAUGAGCGCCAACUUCUAGAAGCUCCAGGUGCUUCACCGCGCCCGCCUAGACAAGGCCAAGUCCAGGAUGGCGGUGGUGGACAAGGCGGAGGCGGACCAUGGGGAGCGCGUCGCCGAGGCGCAGGCUUGGUUCCGCCAGGCCCACAAGGACUUGAAAGCCGCCCAGGACGCGCUGGCUGAGUGCAACCUGGCCCUUGUCAUGAAGCAGGCCGACAUCGAGAAGGCCCAAUAUCUGGCGAAGCAGGAGGCCGCCCAGGCCGAGGCUGCCCGGCGCCAGCAGCAGGCCAUGCUAAAUUCCCAGGAGGAGGACCUUGCCGCGCGUGAGGAGAAGAUUGCCGCAACACUCCGCAGCAAGGAUGAGGAGGUGGAGAAGCUCGUCGUGCAGCAGACCCAGGAGCUGAAGCCGAGGCACAGGGACGCACUCAAUGCCCAGGAUCUGGUUCAUGCCGGUAAGGUGAAGGAGCUGGAGGUGGAGUGGGACGGGUUGAAGGAUCAAGUCAUGAAGUUGUCCAAGGAGAAGCACACGCUCAACGGUGCCUUGGUUGAGGCGCAGGGCGCAAUCCUUGACAAGACCGGGCAGCUUUCCGAGGCCAACAACUCCAUCAAAGACCUCAAGCUGAAGCUGGGGGGUCUCGAGGGGAUUCUCUCAGAGACCAAAGCCCGGGAGGAGACCCUGGCCAAGGAUCUGGAGGCUGAGAGGCAGCUGCGGAAGAACGAAGCCGCCAACCACAAGGAGUUUGUGGAAGGCGAGAAUUGCUGGAUCGGCCGCCUCGAAGGUGUCACCGGCAGGAUCACCACACAAUGGCUACCAUGGGGAUGCCAAAUGUGAGGUAUACCCCGGAGUGCAACACGAACCCCAACGCCAAGCUGACCAUCUUCUUCGAGGGCGUCCUCGGGGCCUUGGAGCAGCUCCACUCCAAUCGGGCGGCCUCCCCAGCCGAUGAGGCCCGGAGGCUUUGCCGAGGUGCCAUGACCAAGGUUCUCACCAAGGUGGUGCACUGGAACCCCAACCUCGACUUUGACGCAGUGCUGGAGAGCUUGCCAGAGGAUGCAGACCUCACGACACUCAAGGAGCGUAUCAAGCCCAUCAUCAGCCGCAUCGGCGGAAUCGAGAGGGUGGAGGGCCAGCGCCGGGAUUAGGCACCCCAUUUCUCAUUGCCGCUGAAGGUUCAUGGCUAAGACAAUUUAUAUCUUUAGUUAGAACCGCAGCAACAAUUGAUGUAAUAUAACUCUGAAGUACUUUUGAAAACGAUGCAUGUUAUUGUCCUAUUUGAUCCCCCUUUGCAUGUCCACCCUAUGUUAAUCAGGUAGGCUUGCUGACGCGUAACCAGGGCCACGGCGCCUUGAGGACAGAUUCACAAUAGCCUACCGGGUAUGCUUACUUCCAGGCGAACCACCUUACCGCCCUCAACGCGGCCGCUCGAACUGUCGAGCUUGACUCAAGUCAGAACGAUAGCGUCGCCGAUUACGGAAGGCUACCCUGCCGAUCUCGACGCGGCUACUUGAGCUGUUGAGCGGACUUGAAAUAGAGCAAGAGCGUUGCCAAUAGUGGGAGGGCCCCUUUGCAUGCAGGUUUUCCGUACAUAAGACAUGACCUUCGAGGACAAUAAUCUUGUAUAUAAAAAGAAAUUACUUAAAGUAUUGCAUGACUUAGCUUUUCUGUCGUUGCAUGGGCGUCCACCGCAUUUGCAGACGGUGCCAUCAUGCCCGGUCUUCUUCUUCCUUGGAACGACGGCCACAAUGAAACCGCUGCUUCGAUCAGACCAGAUUUUCAAAACUGCACCCCCUACCUGGUGCGCCAAAUAUGUUAGUGGAAAUGACACCUAUGGGGUCACUGGAUCCCUUCUAUGGUUGGCGAGUACGAGGUUGUGCAAAGAGCGGGUCUGACAGGAAGCACAUGAGUCGUUUACCCAGGUUCGGGCCGUAAAGAUGUGUAAUACCCUAGUCCUGCUUUGGUGGAUGUAUUUGAGUGUUCUUGUGUUCUUGAGCUAGGUACGGGGUGCAACUUGCCCAAAAGAGCUGAAUCCCUCUCCUGGUCGCCUCGGGCCUCCUUUUAUAGGAAAAGGGGUUGCCACAUUGGCACAUAGGAGGUGGAAAGGUCUACAGUCGAUAAGCCUAUCCUCUGGGACCGUCGGACAAAAGCAUUCAAUGCGCUCUCGAUGUGCCCCCUUGCUUUAUCGUGGAUGCCAGGGAAUCACGUCCCAGCGUCGCCGCCUCGCCUGGUCUCGACACGCAUUCGAGCUGAUGAGGCAUAGCGGUGCCACGUUGGCUGGCUGCUGGGCUGGCACGGUGGUGGAGCCUUCAUGAAGGGUUGCAUGCCGCCACACAGGUGCUUGCUGAGUCGGUGUAGAGGCCGCCCGUCACCAUGCAGGUGCCUGCCCAGCUGGUUGAGCUAGAAGCUGCUUGGGGACGAUGGUGGAGUCCUGGUUGGCGCGGGCCUGGCAAUGGCCCUGCUGAUGCCCUCGGCAAGCGUUUUGCCGGGGGCCCAGCAAGGGUCUUGCCGUGGCCUUGCAGUCGUCCCCGAUAGGGGUCUUGCCGGGGGUCUUGUGGAUUUCCUCGGCUAGGAUCCUGCCUAGGGUCACCGUCUUCUGGUCCUCAUCUGAUCUCACAUGUUUAUGAUCUUGACGAAGAUUUGCAUGCCACCACAGAGGCGCCUCCCGAGCCUUGGUUCCAAUGUAGUUGGUUGGGUUGGAGCCUGUGGGCUCAAGGGUGGCUCACUCUGCUGGUGUUGAGCAAGUUUCCCUGGCAAGGCUCUUGCCGGGGCCGUGGAGGUCACCCCAGUAAGGGUCUUGCAGGUGGAGUCCACCUUGGUCCUUUGUUCUUCAGUGUUUCUGGCCUUGGCGUUGCAUUGUUUGCCUCAUGCUUCGGUUUCUCUCCGGCUUCCCUCCUCUGCCCUACUAAGUGUGGCCGUGGCGUGCGGCUCUGACUGCCCGUGCACAAGGGGUCGAAAGAAGAGCCAGCCGGCCAGCCAACCUAUGCGGAGGCUAGUGCGGCGUCCGGCGGACCGGCGGUCAACUCGCUCAUCACCGGCGCCACCAAUGAACAUGCAUCAGUACUGUUUGAAGUAAUGUUCAGGAAAAAUAUUGAUUUGAGGGGGAAUAACAGGAUAGAUGGUCAGAUGUGGGUCUGUCUUGUCAACAGUCAAACAAAAUGUGUUGGUUUAAGCUGCCUUGUCAGCACGGACGUGUGGGCCAACCCUAUUAUAAACGGGUUUAAAUGAGCCAAAUCGGCACUAGGUAGUAGUUUUUGGCGCGGAUUAAGAAAUUUUGGGUAUGUUUUUGCUACUUUUGUACAAUACUUCUUCCUAGGGCUGGUUGAAAGUGGUAGCUUUUUUGUUAAAUACUCAAUAUAUUGUAGGUAGGAGUGAAAGUUAAGCUUUGGAAGUCAAUAAGCAAGGCUAGUUACAUAGUGCCUAUGUGUACGUGAUUGAAAGUAAAUAUCAACCAUGAGUGACUAGUAUCUUGAUAGAAAAUUCGAAACUAUGGAAAUACUAGCAUUUUUUGCAUGGUUGGAAAUACUAGCAAUGUUCAUGUGCGUUGCAACGGAUCCUAAUUAGAUUAAUACUUAUUCACAAACUUGAUACAAGAAACUCUAAUUUUGAUAUACAUAUAUCACUAGAGAUAUAUUUUGUUUCUAUCGGAAUAUAUUCCUUGGGCUGUUUUGGUGAGGUGAGGGAGGGAUGUGGUUGGUUUUAAGAUACUAAUUAUGGGGUUUUUUGCAAAUUCGUAGAGAAGUGGGAUGUUGGUGAGAAAAUGCAACAACUUACCUCAUGGUCAUUAGAUGUAGAUCUAAUGGUCAGAAAUGACGGAUAACACACACACCAUCAUCACCAACUUAGUCUUCUGUAGGAGUACUAGCAAUAUGUUCGUGCAUUGCACGGAAUAUCAAGAUGCAUUUUCUUUAUAAAACAAUUGUUGUGAUUGACCCAUGCGGGAGUAAUCCCAUGUGUAAAAACUAAUGAUAUCUCAAGAAAGAGGAUAUAAGAUGAAGAGGAGUGGGGCGUGGUGGUGAUUGGUGGUCGGACUGAGCGGAGGCAUGGGGAUGGACGACGCCGGCAGCGGCCACCAGGCCAGUUUGUUCCAGAGGCUUCCUUUUUUAAUUGCUUAACAAUGAGGUUGUUGGAGAUAAGGAUGAACGAGGGAAAGGCCUUGUAUGCAAAUGUGGAGAGAGGUGUGGGUAUCUUUUAGUUUAAUUUCCAUCCGUCAGAUAUAGAUCGGACGACCUAUAUUGCAAGAUGGCAUGCGUACCAUCAUCACCAAAUCAAUUUUUAUAGAGGAGAAGAAAUAUACGUAUGGAGAUACAAAUGUAUUACUGAUACUUGUUUCUGUAAACUAGGAUCUAUAUUCUAUUCAAUGGCUCAGCAUGUGGGGCCUUAGCACAAUGACAUCUCGACUAUGUAAAACAAAGGUUUUCCCGUCGGGUGACGGUGGCGUGCUUUCGGCUUGCUCUAGUCCUAGUAGUCAUACUAGGUGGUCUAGACACGUAUAGACUUAUUCUUUUUCAUGUCUGGUGUUCGUCAUACUUCCAUGACUGUUGAUGAAUAGACGGUAAGUUAUUCAGGGGGAAACCCUUGUUGAGCGUGUUUGCGAGAGAGAGAGAGAGAGAGAGAGAGAGAGAGAGAGAGAGAGUGCGUGUGUGAUAUGUCUAGAGAAUAAGGCAAUGAUAAGAGAUUCUUUGUGUGGAGGAUAGAGAGAUACAUGUACAUGGGGCUUUGUGUUGUGUAACAUGGAGACACAUAGACAUAAUCAGAGAGUGAGUGUGUUAGAUACACAUGCAUACAUGGGGAGAGAUGUGUGAGUUAUAGAGAUGGAUAAUUUUGGUGUGCAUCUGAGAUAGAGAGAGGGGGGAUAUAUACAUACCUAGAGCUAGAGAGAAUAUGCAAAGGUGUGUGUCCUAAAAGAAGGAUCCAAAUAGAUGGGUGUUUGUGCGUGUAUGUGUGUGUUUGUGCACGUGUUUGUGUGUGAGAGGGAGUGUGUGUAUGUGGAGUAGAGAGACCACUAAUGAUGUAAACCUAGUAUAUGGGAAGGGGGAAUGGUGUGCCAUGUGUGUCAAAGAGAGACAAUGUCAUGUGUAGUAGCGGGAUAGCAUGGGUGCGGGAGGGGAAUAGACUAUUUGGAAGAGACAUCGAGUGUGUGUGGGAGAGGAGUGUGAGAGCUAGAGAGAGAGAGAGCUAGCGACGGAGAGAGAGAGAGAGAGAGGAAGAUAUGGGCCGUUUGUGUCCAUAAGUUGCGCAUAGAUAGGGAAACAAUGUUGAUGUUGUUUGAAAUUGUCCUAUGUACGAAGACGCAAGGGAAGUGAGUCAUCGUGUGUGUGAUAGGGACUUCAUGAGAUAUCUAUAAUAUAUAGUGUAGAGAACAAUGUGCAGGAUUGAAAAGAUGAUACAUUAGGGAGCUAUGGAAAGAGUCACGACAUAUAUGUAUACAGGGAAGGAGCUGGGGCGGGUCCGCAUGUGGGAGAGAUAGAAAGAGGAGAGUGGUGCACAAGGAGACAAAGUGUGCUUGUUUGAAGUGGGGUGGUGUGUGAGGUGAGUGUGCAAGAACCACAGACACCUAGGGAGAUAGACUUUUGGGGGCAAAGUUUUGUGUGUAUGGGAAGGAUACACUCAAUAGUGCAUGUGCUUGGUAAAGAGAGAUGUCGGGUGACCUAGAGAGUGGGGGAAGAGAUGUGUGCAUGCCCGAGAGACAAAGUGAUAGCGACCUAUAUUUGGGUCCGGACUUUGGAAGAGUGGGGGGUGUUAAUGUGCUCGUGUGUUCGUGUCUNNNNNNNNNNNNNNNNNNNNNNNNNNNNNNNNNNNNNNNNNNNNNNNNNNNNNNNNNNNNNNNNNNNNNNNNNNNNNNNNNNNNNNNNNNNNNNNNNNNNNNNNNNNNNNNNNNNNNNNNNNNNNNNNNNNNNNNNNNNNNNNNNNNNNNNNNNNNNNNNNNNNNNNNNNNNNNNNNNGGGGUUGGCUUCAGAUAAAGAGUGAGGUGUCUGUAUUUGAGGGACUUUAGCGUAAUUGAGAUAUAUAUGGUCAAUAGUGUGUGCACUCAUGGUUGAUCACUUUGUUUCAUAGUUUGGACUAUGAGAUAACGAUACUUUUGAACAUGUGUGAUAUACCUUGAUGUACCCGAAUUACAAACCUAAGAUUGGAAUUUUGGAAUUCGACUCCAUCACUAGCUUUCGUAAUUUAUUUAAACAAAGGUACAUUUUAAGCUGGGAUUUCAUGAUUUCAAAUUCAUAUAUCAACCUAGAGAUAUACACAUACACGCAUGUUCAAACUUUAUAAUCAUCCACUUUAUUCAUAAACAUACACUUUUUGUUGCUUUUGUCAUCAUAUUGUGGAUGAACACAUUUGGAAUUUCAUUUGAAUGGGACCCUAUGAUGGUAUUUGCUUGUACUAGCUCAAAGAUCCAUAUUUGAAUUGAAUGGACAAUCUAAGUUUCGAGUUGGAGACAUUGAUUUUCAAAACUUGCACUUUUUUGCGUGCAAAACAAAUAAAUUCUCGGCCAUGAUAUCAUAGUCGACCGUACAAGAGCAGAACACUUAUAAUUUCUGGCGCCAAAAGCUUUCAAACUUCCUGCUCACAUCAAAAUAUCUCGCGCACGAAAGUUUAGCCCUACGAUAUUCCUGUUUUACCCCUGCCACAUGAACGGAAAGUGGCUGCUUUGGUAACUCCAUUAUUUUCCCCUCUUUGCCCCCAACAUUCUUCCCCAGAGCCCCUCCCCUUCCCCUCCCUCCCUGACCCCAACCAUGGCAAGCCGCCAAGUCUAGUCCUCCGUCGCAGUGGUGGACCUCACACACUGCCGGAUCUACCUUCCGCACCUUGGAACCCCCAACUUCCAACUCACCACUUCACCCGAGCCGCCAUCAUGGUUCACCGCAUCGGAUCUGCUUAACCGGCACCCUCGACCACCACAGUGUAGGCACUUCACUGACUCCCUCGUCCGCCCCAUCGCUGGCCCUUCAUACAAGCCCUCGUCCACCACAACAGAUCCGCCUCACCGAAAGCACUGUACAACACGCCUGCCAAAGCCUUCGUGCACCGCACCGGAUCCGCUCCACAGAUGCCAUAUUCAACUCCACCGGCCCUGCUUUACUGACGCUGCAGCCUCAUCAGGUUAUGUUGAUUUGUACUCCUUUUGUUUUUCUCUUCUUUAUCGUGCAAAUGUUCACUUACCAUAGAUGAGCUUUCUUGUAUGUCGACAGGCACCGCAACCGAAGUAGCAGAGUUGCUUCGGUGACGGCGACAGCCAGGCCAAACUCAACCACAACACGAGCACCAUCGAUAAUCCUUAGCUACCAAGUAUGACAACGAUACCCAUACACCACCGAGAAUCAGGUACUAUUAUCCAACAGGCAGCGCCUACGUUCACGUUUUUAGCAUAAGCACCACACUUUUUAAUUUAUUCAGGGCAUCAUUCAAUUUUUCAUGAGACACGUUAUUCAGCUUGCACCUAUAGGGUCAUACUUCUGGCAGUGAACAUGUUACAUGUGCUAAAUUACAUACCAGUGCACAGAUAGUUAAUAUGCUUAUCCUAAGUAUUAGUGUACUUCCUAGAUAUCACUGCCUACUAUUUUACUUCUUGCAUUCUAUAUUUAUGAUAAUGGUGUUGUUCUGAUGCCACCUGUUGGUUCCAUCAGACUGCUUCAUGUUCUCUAUGCUUAAUUACACAUCAGCAAACUAGCAUGUGGUUCCGCUACCUUUUGUUCGUUUUACCCUACAUUUUCUGAUGCUAGCUGUUACAUCACUGCUCCGAGCCUCUGUUCAUUACUUUUUCGUGUGUUCUUGAUCUUCCCAAGUUGCAUGACUAAUUUAAUGCUUCUAUUAAUUAUGGAGCUGCCAACCCCACCAAGCAAAAUAUUUGUUCUUUUGGUGUUGGCACCUCGAACAAGCAUAAAAAUAGAGUGAAGCAGAUAUAUUGUCAUGUAAGCACACACCCUUAUUUCAUUAGUUUAGAUGAACCAUUGAUGAUCAAUUCGAACCAGUGCAUGCAAUUAAAAUUAAUAUUACCUAAAUAGAGGGUUCAGAAUAAACUACAACAACUAGAUUUGCAACCACGGGAUGCUGACGAUAUCUUCAAAGAACAUUGCAACAGUAGUGAGGCUUCACAACAACAUAUGGUAAGCCAGUGUGUUUUAGUACAUGUGAAAUGUAAUGCGUGUGGGAUGCUUUCUUAGAUUGUGCCCUCAACCUGUAAUCCUACAGAACUACAAAUAGUUCAGUUGUCUGCUUUACUGUAUUGCUUGAUUCGAAUGCUUGUUUGUUACUUGUUAGGCUAUACCUGAGUUGGCCUAUAUGUCAGCAGUGCCUGCUGUACUAUCGUAAAGAAAUGCAUGCCUAGUUCAUUUGAGUCCUUAACUUUUCCUCUAAACUUCAUCAUAAGACUAUCUUUGUAGUUUAUAUGAGGCCACACUGUCAAGUGCUUUUUUAGAUUAUUUCAACUUCUUAGAUGCCUCGGCAACUUAAAUAUAGCGGUGGUAUACUCCCUUUCAACUAGGGAUAUCAACUGGGUCCCGUUUAAUCCCGAGUCCACUAGUGGUAUGAUAGUUCAAAAGAGUUUUUGUUUUUUGAGGAAAAUGAACUAGGGAGCUAGCAAAAACUAACUAUAUGGGACUGGCGGAUGCCAUUUAUUUGCCACUUACUUCCCUAGUUUCAUCUUACCAUUUUAAUUUGUUUUCGGGUGAUGCUUCUUCGAACCAUUUAAAUAUAGCUUGCCAUGCUCGGCAAUAAUUCGUAUGACAUUUACCAUGUAAGCUUACUGCCAGGAUCAUGCGAUAACUAUCUCUUACUUAUGUCCAGCGGAAAUCUUUCAGGAUGCCGUUCACACUAGGACACAAUGUACAUCCCCAGAAUAUAUUUGUGGAAGCAGUGCACCAUCCAUGUUACCAGAUGGUAGCAGUUCAGAGGCAACACCGCCGAAGAGAAGUCUGAGCACAGAUAUUAUAGUUCUAAGGCUCUACUAGAGGCAGAAAGAGAUGGUGUGCCUGCCAUGAAUGAGGUAAUCUUGAUCUUGAGGUUGGAAAUUAUGAAAUUAGAUGCACACAUUAUGCAAGAAACCCAGGAAUUGGAGGAAGUAAGAAUGUUGCAUUUGAAGACGGAGGAGGUCCUGCUGUUUCUGCUAUCUGAAGCCCAGGCUAAUCCCGGUUCUUCUUUAGAUACCAGUUGAAAUUGUCAUUAGAUUAUUGUACUUGCAUGUUGUGUCAUGUAUCUGAAUGGAUUAUGUAGCAAGACCCCCCUAUGUUGUCCAUGUGUUGUAAUGAUCCAAAUUUUUUAGGCGAGGUAAUCCUCAGUACUUGUAUGAUUGACAUAAGGUGAACUGUUUUUCGUGUGAGCAUAUUGUAUUGGAUGAAAUAACUGUUUGACUCAAAGUGUAUCCAACCUACUGAAUUCGAAGAUCAUGACAUUUCUAAAUCAUAAUCAUAUAUAAAGGUUGAAUAAAUCUUUGUUGUGGUUUUGAAGAAAUAAAUAACAAAACAUAGAAUUAUCUGUGGAUAUUCAUAAUCGAAAACAAAUUGGAUUUGAAUUUAGUUGCCAGGGCCCAGGGCAAACGUGAAUGCUAAUUCCCAAGUUUUGAAUGAAGCGGCUAAACACCCACUGUCAUUUAUGGGCUGCCCGAAGCAAGUAUUUGCGAGAUGGAAAUUACCGUCUACCCCUGACACUUGACAUCCUUAUCGACCAGAUUUACACUGCUGUCGAUAGGGGUAGACUAGUAACUUCAAUUAGACGUGACAUGACUGCCUCUGAGCCCAUUAAACCAUGGUGGGCGCCAAACAAGGGCGGCAAAACAAAUUUGAUUCAAGCUCAUCCGAAAGACAUGUGUCUCUCCCUCCAUUUCCCCGUUCAUACAUGAUGGGCGGCAAAACAAACUCUCCUCAUCCGAAAUCGAUGUAGGCAAAUAUUUUAAAUAGGGGCAGAUGUGUAACUUCCCUCAGACGUGACACAACCGCCCUACCUGUCAGCCCCGUCCAUACACCGUGGGCGCCAACCAUGGGCGGAAAAACACCCUCUCCUCGCCCGAAAUCGCUACUGGGAAAUAUUUGGGAGAUGCGAGAUUACCGUCCUAUCCCCAACCGACGUGAUGUCCGCAAUUUUAAACGGGGGAUAAGUUCAUAACUUUCCCACAUUUCAGACAAGCGCUUCCCAAAGUUUGAGAUCACCCUCCCCUCCAUUUCCCCAUUCAUACACCGUCGGCUUCACGACAUCGUCCCCACUUCGGCCAGCCACCUCCGUCCGCCACCCCAUCCUCCACAUUGCCGGACACGCUACCCCUACCCCGUCGUCCACUGCAAGAGAUGGACGUCUCUCAUCCACGGCGCCGGACUAGGAUCCUUUCAUCGCGUCCUCUUGCUUCAUUGGCGCCGUCUUCCACCUUGCCGUUGUUGCUCCUAUGACCGCCUCAUCCACAACAACAGGAUUUAUCCUCUGACCCGGCUGUCUGCCGUCUAAAGUCUUCUUCCCCAUUGCCGACAGCCAUCGCACCCACAGCACCCUCAAUGUAUCAGCAGUGGCCUACACAACGUCGCAAGAGAGGUGGUUGAGGGAGUCCUGGAUUAGGGGGUCCUCGGACAGCCGGACUAUAUCCUUUGGCCGGACUAUUGGACUAUGAAGAUACAAGAUUGAAGACUUCAAACCGUGUCCGGGUGGGACUCUCCUUUGCGUGGAAGGCAAGCUUGGCAAUUCGGAUAUGUAGAUCUCCUCCCUUGUAACUGACUCUGUGUAACCCUAGCCCCCACCGGUGUCUAUAUAAACUGUAGGGUUUUGGUUCGUAGGAUAGCAACAAUCAUACCAUAGGCUAGCUUCUAGGGUUUAGCCUCUUCGAUCUCAUGGUAGAUCAACUCUUGUAAUACUCAUAUCAUCAAGAUCAAUCAAGCAGGAAACAGGGUAUUACCUCCAUCGAGAGGGCCUGAACCUGGGUAAACAUUGUGUCCCCCGCCUCUUGUUACCAUCCGCCUUAGACGCACAGUUCGGGACCCCCUACCCGAGAUCCACCGGUUUUGACACUGACAUUGGUGCUUUCAUUAAGAGUUCCAUUGUGCCGUCACAAUCAAGGCUUGUUGCUCCUUUGAUCAUCGGCAACAAUGCGAUCCAGGGUGAGGGUUUCCUCCUUGGACAGAUCUUCGUAUUCGGCGGCUUUGUACUACGGGCCAACUCGCUUGGCCAUCGGGAGCAGAUCGAGAGCUACGCCCCUGGCCAUCAGGUCAGGUUUGGAAGCUUGAACUAUAUUGUCGACAUCCGCGGAGACUUGAUCUUCGACGGAUUCGAACCCAUGUCAGGUGCGCCGCACAGUCACGAUGGGCACGAUUUAGCUCUGCCAACGGACAGUGUUCGAGAGAUCACACAUGUAACUACUCCGGCCCUCAAUCCGGAACAGAUCGCACCGUCCGAGGACGGGUGGAUGGACCCCACCACGGAGGUCACACACUUUACGGCGAUAGAGCCGAAUGCUGACUUCACCUCCUAUGAGACAUGUGUUGCCGAACACUCGGAAUUGUCCCCGGCCACAGACUCCGAACCGCUCACGUCCGUGCACAUCCAAUCUGAUUGGGCACCGAUCAUGGAGUUCACCUCCGCGGAUAUCUAUCAACACUCGCCCUUAGACGACGUGCUAAACUCAUUACGGUCUCUCUCCUUGUCAGGAGACCCUUGGCCGAACUAUGUCCGACUCAAGUGGGAAGCGGACGGUGAAGAAAUUCGUUCCCCACCCACCACCCACUUAGUAGCCACUAUCGAAGACCUAACCGACAUGCUCGACUUCGACUCCAAAGACAUCAACGGUAUGGACGACGAUGCGGGAGACGAACAGGAACCACCGGCCACAGGGCGCUGCACUGCCACCUCAUCGUAUGAUAUGUACAUGGUGGACACCCCCAAUGAAAGCAAUGGCAAUAAGGCAACAAAGGUUAAUCACCCCGAGAAUCAAUCCAAGAGCUAGCAUCAUCGGCGCCGCUCUAAGCCCCGCCAUAGCAAAAACAGCGAUACCGGCACAAGAGACAAUAACGCUACAAAUAGUGCCGAAGAUGAAGACAAUCCCCUCCAGCCACGCUUUGAGUAGGAGGAUGGGCAAGCCAGCCCUAAGGAACAUGCAACAGAUGGAUAAUUAGAGGAUGACAAUUACAUGCCUCUCUCCGAAGACGAGGUGAGCCUCGGAGACGAAGAAUUUAUCGUGCCCGAGGAUCCCGUUGAACAGGAGCGCUUCAAGCGCCGGCUUAUUGCCACAGCAAAAAGCCUGAAGAAAAAGCAACAACAACUUCAAGCUGAGCAAGAUCUGCUAGCGCAUAGAUGGACUGAGGUCCUGGCAGCCGAGGAACACGAACUCGAGCGCUCAAUCAAAAGUUUCCCAAAUCGCAGGUUUCUACCCCAACUGGAAGAGGAAACAUUAAAGCCUGCGCUUCUAGCGUAUGAUGUGGCAGACCGGCCACCUCGUGGCCGGGACAAAGUGGCAUCUAAGCCCAAAGUCCAGCCUGCACCCCGUCGCUAGUCAAACAAAUACAGCAAGGCCCGAGGUAACACGCAGGUCCUGCGAGACAUAUUGGAAAACAAAGCAGGACACAAAAGAUCGACCUUCGGAUCACGAGGGCGCACCCCAACACAUGACGACGACCGUCAUGCCAGAUAUACCAAAAGAAAAUCCGGCCGGGCCGAACACAGUAGACAAGACUCGUACAAAUUGCAUCGUGACAUAGCCCGACAUAGAGGCGCCGCACACCCCCUAUGCUUGAUUGAUGAAGUAAUGGAUCAUGAAUUCCUAGAAGGGUUUAAACCUGUGAAUAUUGAAUCAUACGAUGGUACUACAGACCCCGCAGUAUGGAUAGAGGACUUCUUCCUCCACAUUCACAUGGCUCGCGGAGAUGAUCUACACGCCAUCAAGUAUCUCCCGUUAAAACUCAAAGGACCGGCUCAGCAUUGGCUGAAUAGCUUUCCGGCAAACUCCAUCAGAAGUUGGGAGAACUUGGCAGACGCAUUCCUGGAUAACUUCCAGGGCACAUAUGUGCGACCGUCGGAUGCUGACGAUUUGAUUCACAUAACACAACAGUCCGAAGAGUCAGCCAGGAAAUUCUGGACCCGGUUCCUAAUCAAAAAGAACCAAAUUGUGGAUUGUCCGGAUGUCGAAGCCGUAGCAGCCUUUAAACAUAACAUCUAUGACGAAUGGCUCGCCCGACAUCUCGGCCAAGAGAAGCCAAAGUCCAUGGCAGCCCUCCACUCAUGACCCGCUUCUGCACGAGCGAGGAUAGCUGGUUGGCUCAUAGCAACAACACAGCAAGCAACACUGGCAAAUCAUAAGCCAGAGAUAGCAACGGAAAACCCCGGCGGAACAAACACAAACGCCGCAAACAUGGUGAAAGCACCGAAGACAAGGCAGUCAAUGCUUGAUUUAAUAGCUCUAAGUCCGGUCAGCGGAAAGGGCCACUCAAAAAUGACAAUUCGAGUCCGUCCAGUUUGGACCACAUACUCGGCCGUCCAUGCCAAAUUCAUGGCAAGCCAGGAACACCAGCCAAUCAUACCAAUAGAGAAUUUUGGGUCUUCAAACAAGCUGGCAGGUUAGGCGCCAAAAACAAAGACAAGGGGUCUCAAAGCGAUGACAGCGACAAGGAGCCCAGAUCACCGAAUAGAGGAGGGCAAAAGAAAACUCUCCAGCAAAUCUAAAUGGUGAAUAUGGUAAACGCCACCCACACUCCUAACCCGGACCGGAUGCACACCCUUAGGGAUGUCGACCUAACGAAACCAGUCAGCCCGCAAUACAAACUAGAGCCGAUCACCUUCAACCAAUUGGAUCAUCGGGUCAGCACCAGUCACAGUAGUCCAGCCGCACUAGUCCCCGACCCAAUAAUUGACGGGUUCGACCUCACACGAGUCCUUAUGGACGCAGGCAGCAGUCUAAAUCUGCUUUACCAGGACACAGUGCACAAGAUAGGCAUCGAUCAUUCGAUGAUCAAACCCACUAAAGCCACCUUUAGAGGUAUUAUACCAGGCGUGGAGGCCAGCUGUACUGGCUCCAUCGCCCUCGAGGUAGUCUUUGGAUCACCAGAAAAUUACCGUGCCGAAGAGUUAAUCUUCGACAUCGUCCCCUUUUGCAGUGAUUAUCAGGCACUGCUCGGGCGAACUGCAUUCGCUCGAUUCAACGCGGUGCCACAUUAUGCCUACCGUAAACUCAAGAUGCCCGGUCCGCGCGGUGUCAUCACGGUUAAUGGCGAGGCCGAACUCUCCCUCGGUACCAUAGAGUACGCCGCCACUCUAACAGCAGAAACAAUGAAGGGCACCUUUCAGUCAAAUCUUGAAUCGACGGCCAAACCCUCGGACACAUGCAAAGUAGUCCGAACUACUUCACGGCAGGAUAUCCCGGCUCGUCCAGGGCUCAACUAAACAUUCCGGCGAAGUCCGGAACAUGCCACAUAUCACGGAUCAACCACUCCCCGACACACAAUUAUUUCUUACAUUUCCUUUGCAGGCUCACCUUUGCGCAGACCGGGACUGGUGACAUGGUAACAGCUUGAACACACAAGGGAAUCUUUAGAUAUUUCUCGCGACUUCCAUCUGACUACACUCUGGAUCUGCACAUAGCUUCUUCCUCCCUGGUCCCAGCAGGUUACACAGACUUAUUCCCCUUUUUAUCACAUUAUCUGUACUCAUACGCAUCGAUGUAUUAUUCAAAUACAACAUGUGGAUUUAUAUGACGCUUAUUUUCUGUUAUUUCUUAUUAAAACUCUUUUGUUAAGUGGCAUCCGUACACUGCGAUAUGCCUUUGCUAGGGGCUUCGUUUUACCCAUAAUACGACAAUAAAGUCCGAACACCUUCACGGAAGUUUGGCACCCCGAACUUAUAGCAUUAUAUGCAUCAGCUCCGAAUCAUGUCUUGGGUCAAAUGUUGGGUUUGCCCGACUCCCAUGUUUUGUUGCCUUAUGUUCCGCUAUAUCAGCUAAGGCGGCACACGCAGAACUACUGUGAUUGUGUCCUGGUUCUUCUGGACGAGCACCUCAGUAGAGAAAGCCGAAAACUUACUAUCAUGAUACGACGAGAGCUGGUCAAAUUUUCGAGAGGUUGUAAAAUCUUUAAGGAUUUCUCCCGCAUAAUGCCAUAACCAAUGCAGCGUGUGAUGGAUCGGUUCUUCUUCCGAUUAGGUGCCUAUAGGGCCCCUCAUGCGGUCUUCCAAACACCAGGGGCUGCGCCUACCUUCCUAAUGCUCCUAUGGCUAAGUGAGAAUGAUAAAGCCCUAUAGUCCGAUUGCCUGGUUCGCUGUGCUGAACACCUCCUUCGAAGGACCCAAAACUGGGGUAAAGAGUGAUCGGGUUUAUCCCGAACACCCCCGUAUCUCUUACGAGGGGGCAGAAGCCGACGACUGGCCAACUCUCAGGUUUAAUAUAUAAAACGGCCACGCAGGAGGGUAAACUUUUAUAACAGGCAAUAAAUAAUAGAAAUGACCUUGUUCACACAUUACAAAGGACAACAUGACUAUAUUCAUGGAAAUAUAAUGUCCUUGGUGCAUUGCUCCGCCGCAAGGCAGGAUCCUUUCAGGAUAAUUUCAUAAUACAACUCGGGCUUGCGGUGCUCCUUUCCCUCUGGCGGUCCCUCGGUCGUCAGCUUUUUAGCAUCCAUCUUCCCCCAGUGCACCUUUGCGUCGGCAAAGGCCAGUCGUGCACCCUCUAUAUAGACUGUCCGCUUGAUGACGUCAAGUCGAGGCCAGGCACUAACAAGUCGCUUCACGAGCCCGAAGUAGCUACCUGGAAUCGGAUCGGAGGGCCAUAGCCGGAUAAUCAAAUCCUUCAUGGCUAGUUCGGCCGCCUUACGCAGUUCGAUCAACUAUUUCAGUUGAUCGAUAAAAGGCAUCGGAUAAUCCGGUGCCAGAUACUGCAACCAGAAGAGCUUAUCCACAGUAUUCCCCUCUUCGGCUUGAUAGAAUUGGGCGGCAUCCGAUAUGCUGCGAGGAAGUUCCGCAAAUACCCCUAGAAGAAUCUGAACUUAAAAUUAUAAAGCAUAAGUUUCUCCUCAAAAACUUGCUUUACAUGGAAGAAGGCCUUACCCUCCGUGAUCUCCCUCGCCUCUUGGAUCUCCUGUAGGGCGCCUUGGGUUUCCCCACGGGCAUGGCACAGGGCCUGAUGAGCCCUGGUGAGUUCGGAUUCUUUCUUUGUUAAACUCUGCUCUAGGGUCUUGCAUUUUUUCAUGGCCUCUUGGAGCUCUCGCUUAGCUUCCACAACCUUGGCCUCGUGCUUCUCAUGAAGCGCCUGCUCGGCGGCUGCCUUUUCCUCGACCUCGGCAACAGCCUUCUUCAGAGCCCCGACUUCGGUCAUCACCCCUGGCGCAAAUCAUGACACAUAUUCUAUCAUACUAAAAAUUCGUUCGUAGUGAAUGCAAACAAGAUUUAUGCAUACCUUGUUGAUCUUCCAACUGCCUUUUCAACAGGACAAGCUUUAUUUCGGCCCGCUCUAGAAUUUGAUUCAGUCCAGAAAACUCCGCGGUAUGAGCGGUAGUAGCCGCUACAGACGCCUGCUUACAAAAGAAGAGAGAUAGAUGUCAUCAAAUGAGUCUUCCCACGAAAAAUAUAUUUGAUCCUCUCUCCGGUUCUUUCAUUCACCAGACAGUGUAUCAGGGGCUACUAUCCAUACUAUGACACUCUUCGAAACCAUAUAAAACAUACCUCAAAACCUCUUAUAAGGUCGAUACAGGCUUCAUUCAGUUCAUUUUCAGCAGACUAAAUAUUCUCAAUCACCGCACCCAUAAGGGCACGGUGUUCAUCGACGAUGGAGGCGCUCUUCAGCGCCACCAAUAAAGCACCCGGCGCCUCUGGUUGGACAGAGGUUGCCGGUGGAACAUGGACGCCCUCUCCAGCCGAGGAAGGUUGCCUGCUUGAUUCCGGAGCCGUAUUGGUCUCCGAAGCUGUGUCCGGCUGGGGGUCGAAUUCAAGAUGGCCCCCACCGUCGACUCCUGUGGGGAUCUUCUCCCCCAUGUCUCCGGCCCCUGAAGUUUGACCUCCAGGCACCGCCUUCAUGAUUUUCUCCACCACUCCUUGGACGGAGUCCCUCUGGGGCGAAGCCUCGGUGUUGAUCACAUAGUUGGGGGGAGGGGCCUUCGGAGGUGUCCUGCUCUCCAUAGAAUCCGAGCUCAGCAAGUCCUCUGAUGAGGAUUGUUUGGAACGGGACCCGGUCGGACUACAAAAAAUAUGGCUAAGGUUAAAAUACUAUGCCAUGAUCGGUCCGGACACAUGAACGUGUUCGUAUUUUAUGUACUUACAAGUUCACUAGGGGCUUGGACCUAGGAUCCCACGCCGGGCUGCUAUCGGCGACUGCAGUGAACUCUUUCGGAAGAAGACAUUUUUCCCUUUUAGGAGACUCGGCCUCAAAGUAUACGGAGGCCGUCCUCUUCUUUCUCCCCCCGCUAGGGAUUCAUCUCCCUCCUCCUCGUCCUCUUCGGAGGCGGGACGGGCACGGUGACGAAGGCCGCCCCGGGUCUUUUUGGCCUCCUUUUCGGUCUUCUUCUCCGGCACCUUGUAAGGCACCGGGUCCACCGUCUUCGUCAGAAGUGGGCCGACCAAUUCUUCAGGCAGUGGGGCCGGACAUUGGAUCCGCCCCGCCUUCUUCUUCCAGCCCUAGGAAAGUUGUGUAAAACACAUUAAGCAUUACCCUUGAGUUAUGCGAAUAAAACGUAUGAUAACUUACCGAGCUUGCAGGGCGGGACAGUUGGUAUCCGUGGUCCUCGGCCGAGUCCGGCCAUGAUUUGUCGGGCUUUAAGAGCACCUUCCAGAUGUCUUUGUGCGUGGAGCCAAAGAGCUCUCGCAGGGUCUGGUGCUUGGGCGGAUCGAAUUCCCAUAGGUUGCAAGUCCAGUGUUGAGAAGGUAGGAUCCGAUGGACUAACAUCACCUGGACUACAUUGACAAGUUCGAUAUUCUUAUCUUUCGUAUGCUUGACGCACGUUUGGAGCGCCAACAAUUCAUCGGACGAAGACCAGUCCAGGCCCUUCUUAAGCCAGGACGCAAGCCGCAGAGGGGCUCCGGAUCGGAACUUGGGAGCAGCGGCCAACUCUGCGCCGCGCGGCUCAGUGAUGUAAAACCACUCCUAUUGCCACUCCCUGACGGAAUCAUUGAAGGUAACUAUUGUCCAUGUGAUGUUGGGCAUCUUGCUCACCAUAGCGCCCCCGCACUCAGCAUGCUCACCGCCCACGACCUUGGGCUUCACAUUAAAGAUCUUCAGCCAUAAGCCGCAGUGUAGCGGGAUGUGGAGAAAGGCCUCGCACACGACAAUGAAUGUCGAGAUGUUGAGAAAGGAAUUGGGGGAUAGAUCAUGAAAAUCGAUCCCGUAAUAAUACAUGAUGCCGUGAACAAAAGGAUGGAGGGGAAACCCUAGCCCGCGGAUAAAAUGGGGGAGGAAUACGACCCUUUCGUGCGGUUCCGGGGUAGGGACGAUCUGUCCCGCCAUCGGGAGACGGUGGACGAUUUUCUAGGCUAGAUACCUAACCUCCCGAAGUUUUUGAUGUCCUUCUUCCGGACAGUAGAGUCCAUCCACUUGCCUCCUGCUCCGGACAUAUUUGGAGUGGUUCUUCGGAGAAAAUGUAAACUUGGGUGCUGGAGCUCGAGUACACGAGAAUGGAUGGGCAGGAGAGAAGAAGGUGUGGGUAAAAAGGUGGAACCCUUAUCCCUUUAUAAGGGCGGAAGAAACUAUGUGCCUCCCCACCUACCUGGUGAAUUCGGUUAUUCCCCAAGCGCCGCGAUUAAUGGCACGGUUGGGUUACCCACACCCGUAUUGAUGAGAAUCCCGUGAUAAGGGGACACGAUCUCUGCUUCAACAAGACGUGCCAAGAAAACCGUCUCGCAAUAUGUGCAGAAGCUGGUUGAGAAAAACGGUUCAUGACCGGGCCAUGACGUGAUGUCAUGUUAUGAAAAGUUGUCGGCAGAUUAGAUUUAUGGAAAUAUUAUACUCUCUACGGUAGUAUGUGGAAUUUGUUUUCUAGAGCCGGAUACUAUCCUUGUGUUCAAAAUCAUCUAUGGAGUAUUCGGAGGAGGAACCUGCCUUGCAAUGUCGAAGAUGAUCUGCGCGCCGGACUCAUCGUCAUUGAAGCCUGGUUCAAGGGAUACUAAGGGAGUCCUGGAUUAGGGGGUCCUCGGACAGCCAUACUAUAUCCCUUAGCCGGACUGUUGGACUAUGAAGAUACAAGAUUGAAGACUUCGUCCCAUGUCCGGGUGGGACUCUCCUUUGCGUGGAAGGCAAGCUUGGCAAUUCGGAUAUGUCGAUCUCCUCCCUUGUAACUGACUCUGUGUAACCCUACCCCCUCCGGUGUCUAUAUAAACCAGAGGGUUUUGGUCCGUAGGACAACAACAAUCAUACCAUAGGCUAGCUUCUAGGGUUUAGCCUCUCCGAUCUCGUGGUAGAUCCACUCUUGUAAUACUCAUAUCAUCAAUAUCAAUCAAGUAGGAAGUAGGGUAUUACCUCCAUCGUGAGGGCCCGAACCUGGGUAAACAUUGUGUCCCCCGCCUCCUGUUACCAUCCACCAUAGACGCACAGUUCGGGACCCCCUACCCGAGAUCCGCCAGUUUUGACACCGAUAGUGGUACUCUUCCAUAUGUGCUGAAGUUAUUGAUCUCACCUGGAAAAUAGAUCGCAAAUUGUUUACUGUACUUUUCUUGUCCCUACAAAAUCAUAGUGGCUAGUUGAAAGCAAAAAUUGGUUGCAUAGUAGCUUUGUCCGGUUUGCACCUUCAGAUCUGCCAUGGCACGGUCAGUAUACUCGUAAAGCUUAUGGUUCCCCCCGCUUUAUAUUCACUCUCAUCAUCGUAGGUGCUUCGUGUCGUGCUAGCGCUGCUCCUCAAGACCUCAACCCAUCAAGGGAAACAACAUGCCACUCAUAAUUCCAAAGCUUAGGUGUUGAAAUACGAAUCUGAUAUGAUGCUCAUAUCACUAAACACAGAGAACAUUUAAUUGGUCACCUAAUGUUCCUAUAUUCGUUUCGGAAAUCAUGUGCGCCACCCAUUGGUCCAGCUAGUUCCACUUUCCUGAUUUUACUCUUGAUGCUUAGGGUUUUCCCCUUUUAUGUACUUUACUAUGAUCUGCGCAGGUGCUUUCUGUCGUACUAGCAUUACUCCACCCUUCAAGCUAAACAACACAACACUCAAAAUUCCAAAGCUUAGUUUUUCAAAUAUGAUUGUGAUAUGAUAUAGAUAUUAGUUAACAGACACAUUUAAUUGAUUAGCUAAAGGUCCCACUUGAGUUUCCAAAUGCAUGCCAUGACAUAUAGAGAGACAACAGAAUUGCAUUUCUUUGUCACUUGUUGACUGUACUUUCUUAUUCAUACCAAAUCUUAGUUGUUAUUUCAAACCAAACAUCGGUUUCUAACUACCCUUUGCGUGGUUUGCAGCUUCAGAUCUGCCAUCCCACUGCCACGGUCAACACUAUACUCAUCAUGCUUACGAUUUACCCAUUUAUGAUGACCAUGAUCAGCCUACGUGGUUUGUGUCGUGAUAGCAUUGCUCCACCCAUUGAUCUAAACAAGCUUAGUUGUACAAAUUCAAAUAUGAUAUUAUACUGAUAUUAGUAAAACUGAGAGAUGCUUAAUUGGUCAGCUAAAUGUUCCUACUUUAGUUUCGAAAUGCAUGUGAGCCACAUAUGGUGAGACCGAAAGGAAUAGUAUUUCUCUAUGCGCUCUGGUUCAUCAUGGGUGGGCAACCGACAUUGUAUAGAAAGACUUGUAAUAUCUUCAAUCUCCUUGCUCUUUUGCUCUCCUUUAAGAUGAUCCUCUUCUCUUCUUCAAUAAGUAUGUUCCUUGUUGGGAAGAGUUGCAGAGACAUUUGCGGUCGACUGGUUAGGUCGAGUUGUUCUCCCUUAGUAUAUUUUGAAUCUGUCAGGUCAGGUCUACUUGUUUUUCUUUACUAUAUGUUGAAGCUGUCAUCUACGAACUAUCAUCACUUCUGGAGCUCUCAUAUUUUGAGUAGUAAGCCACAUUAUAUUAAUACACACACCAAAUUACAUCAUGCAUGGCAUCUCUCAGAAGAAUUGCAAAGAUAGCACAAAGGGCUUUACAGGGAGGCAGUAUUGGAUUAGAAUCACUUCUGCAUUACAAAGAUAAUCUCACUUGUUUUUAUGUUUUCAUGCAUGUCAACUUUUGAAGAUUAUUAAAAUGAAUAUGAGAAUGGGCGCAUGAGAGGAAUAUUGCGGAACAAUCCACUAGCUAAGAAACUUGGCAUGGUGGAGGAUGGCCUAUCUUAUUCACCCAUCAAGGUGCUUGCUCUAACUUGGCAAGGUUGUAUUGGUCGCACAUAUUUUGCAUCUGACCUCUAGCAUUACUUCUACUUUGUUACACCAUCUACUUAGUUUAAGCAUCAUAUAUGAGUAUAUGCCAUACCUAUCCAUUUUUUGUACCUAUUCCAUGUGUCGUCAUACUAUGUUUUUGCAGUCAAAUGUUGUUCUUUCAUAAUAGAUGUCCAAAAUGAAGAGGGUGAGUGCAGAUCCUCAAGGAGUACAAACUAGGUAUUUGGAAAAGGUAGUGAUACCUGUUAAAUCAGAUAGAUCAGCAGCCACAGAAAACACAGGCUCAACUGUACCACACUUUACCCCUACUCCACUGGCCAAACGCCAAUUAGAACUGCUGAGAGACCAGCGUCAGGUACUGUCUAUGAUAUUAAUUCAAAAUUUUAAUUCCUAAAUUUCUUCAUGUGCCUUCCCUUCUCUCUUGUAUGAAAACUAAUUUAAGAUGAAUCUCCUUGCUCAAAGGAUCAUAGGAUCUCACAACAAUACUAGGCUCUGCAUUGCUCUUGUCAGUACCUCCCGCCCUUUGUCAGCAUAAUUACACUCAUCGCUAUUUGAUUAUGUAGCAUCACUGUAAAUGUUCACUUCUUUAUCCUCCCUUUGCAUGAAAUUAUAAGAUCUAUAUUUACUCUUAGAUAAAUGUAGAAUUAACACAAUGGUUAUGAAGUUUUGGAUUUCUCAUGUAAGUACCUGUUGUCAUGCACUCCCUCUGUAUUGAAUUAACUAUUGAUCAGUUGGAUGUAUUUAGAACUUAAUAGUGCUAGAUACAUCCAUUUGAGUGACAAGUAACAAUAGACGAUGGUGGUAUUACUGUACUUGCAUCGCGAGAUAGUUGAUUGUCUAGCAUUACUCUGCAUCUUAUCUGCCCUACCCUUCACUUUCUCCAAAUUAUCAUAUCUACAUUUACUCUUACCAAAAUGUUGAAUAAAGCCAAUGCCACUUCACACGUUGAUGUCUGCAUUCCUCUUGUCAGUACCUUUUGCCUUGUAACACUGUACUUAAUUAAUUGCUAUUUGAUUAUGUAUCAUCAGUCUGCACCUGAGCUUCAUUAUCCUCUAUUUCUUCCAAUAUUAUUUGAUCUAUAUUUACUCUUUGCAAAAUUUAGAAUAAUGGCAACGCUUAUAAAGAAUUUUCUUUCGGGAAUUUAUUGAAUUAUUCUUCCAUCAACAUGGAGAAGGGCUUUAUCCAGCCCGUGUUAACAUGUAAUGUAAGUUCAUCCUUCUCAAGCAUUCAAACUUUGUUCUAGUAUAGAUUUGGAUAGGCAUCAUUUCCUCCACUGCUGUUUACUUUGCUGUUUACAUCUGAUUGGAUGUUUGCAACAACUACCAGUUUUAAAUGGUAGUUGUAAAAACAUGUUCCUUAUGCAGAACAAAUCCAUUUAUUUUCUUAUAUAAUUGUGAAACCUGUUACGUGUCUCCUUGUUUCUCUUUCAGAGUCAUAUCUCUUAUGCCAAGCAGAAAUUUAGGGAAGAUAGUGAGCCAAAUCAUCUUGAGGACAGCGAGAUGACCCCAAGCUCCUAUCUUGAUGAAGACACUGAGUUGAAGCUACUCAACAGUAGGUGUGAGACAACCUCUGUGCAGUCGCUGCCUCAAUCAGUUCGACUUCUUCAGUCUCAAAUUAAAGUGGAAAGGCUUGCUUUAGCUCAACUCCGACUUGAAGUUAAAGAUGCAAUGAAGAUAUCAGAGGACUGCCGUGCGCACUAUGGUGCCAUACAGCUAGGGAUGGAGCAUCUAUCGUUGACACAACUAAGGUCUCGUCAGCUUGUUCGGCUGCUUGUGGGGCCUGUCCUGGCCAUGCCUAGUGCUUUCUGAAGUGAUCUCAGUUUUUUAUAUUCUUUUGUUGGCGCAUUUAUUUGCACUGGUGGCGAUCUUUGAUGCCCAAUGUAUGUAAUCCGCGGUCACGUUGCGCUUUAUUAUCACCGGUAGCGAACUUUCAUUACUAGUGAUGUAAUAUGCCGUAAUUUUUUUAUUGUAUAGUCUAGGUUUAUUCUUUGGUCGGUAUGCUAUAAUUUAGGCCGGAAGGUUUAGUGGAUCUCAGUUUUGUCGGUCUUCAGGCCAGCCCAUUACUCAUAUGGGUCAAAACAUGGCCAGCUGGGCCAGAGAAUACCAUGGGCUUUUAAUAGGCUAAAACCUAGAUUGGGCUAGCGUUGACCCGAAAAAUUAAUGGGCCAAUACAGGCCAAAACUGCCUAAGGCCCAUGUUGGGCCCAAAUAAGACGAGCAGUUAACAUGCCAAAAUAUAUCUCGGGCCUAUUGGCCCAAUAAAUUAUGGGCUUUAAGCAGGGCGGUAUCCAUGCGAGCCAUAGGCCCAAAAGUGUCACGGGCCAUUAUGAGAUGGGCUGUAAGCAGGCCGGAUUCAACACGGGCUGUAAUUAGGCCCAACGGUUACACGGGCCAUUAAUAGGCCAAUAGGCCAGUUGGGCUGAAAUUUAUCCAUGAAGACUACGGGUUGUUAAGAGGCCUAAAGUUACUUCAGGCAAGAAAUAGCCCUGUUUCCACAUGGCCCGUUAGAUGGCCUAAAGUUAAACCGGGCCGACAACGUCCCAGAUGCACCACGGGCCGCUAACAGGCCGAAACUAUUACCAGGACGAACUAGUAAACAAGAAUUUAAUAGGCCGAAAUACAAACCUGUCUUACAUUGGGCCCAAAAGAACAGUGGCCUGUUAACGGGCCUGAUCCGAUGUCGGUCGUAAUUUGGCCCAAAACUCGGCAGGCUGUGAAUGGGCCUGAUCUGGUAUGGGCCUCAAUUUUGCCCAAAACAUAGCACUCUGUUAACGGGCCAACACACUAGUGUCUGGAAAAACAUGGUGGGCCUUUAUCUAGGCCGACCUUUUCACCGAAAUGGGCCUCUGUUGGGCCGUGACAUGUGUCGACGUACUAUAGGCGCCUCCUGUCCAAUGAGUGGAUGACAUCUAUCCCAACAGUGAGCCAGCAUGUGUUUCCUCCAGCCAAUGAGAAUUUUACACGUGGAAAAUCCCAAUUAGUCUAGGCUAUUAAUGGGUUAUCGGAUCCAAAACCGGACCCGAUAGCUUAACGGCGACCCGUUACGGUCGAUGCCACAUGUCGGUCACCCUUGAUGAAAGCACUUCUAUAACGCAUGAUUUAUUGUCAUGGAAGUGGACACUUCUAUGAUGAUAUUUUUGGUAAUGUCAUGGAUAACUUCUACGACAACAGAGAUAUGAUUAUCUUGAUUCUGUCAUAAAAUUGUCAUGGAUGUACACGCAUGACAAAAAACGUGACCUACUUUGAUGAACACAUAUCAUCACGGAAGUGUAUUUUUUUGUAGUGCGAUUACAUGAUGAAUCUCAUCCAACUCCUCACCGACCAGCGAGCCUACGAAGAAAUUACUCACUCUCGGUGGGGAGCAUCAUGGGAUUGGCGAUGGAGAAAGGUUGGUGAUGACGAAGAACGAGGACCCCCCCCUCUCCGGAGCCCCAAACGGACUCCAGAUCUGCCCUCCCAAGGAAGAACAGGGCUUGGUGUCAGCUAUAUCUCGUGGAUCGCAAUAGUUCUUUCUCCCUUGAUUUUUUUCUCCGUAAAUAGGAUUUUAUAGUGUUGGUUUCAGGGUUUGCGGAGCCACCAGGUGGGGACAACCCACCUUUGGCGCACCAGGAGAGGGGGGCGCGCCCUGGUGAGUUGUGCCCACCCAGGGGCCCCUCUUCGGUAGGUCUUGGCUCCAGAAAUUCUUAUAUAUUAUAUAAAAAUUCCUCACAGAGUUUCGUUCCAUUCCAAGAACUUUUAUUUCUGCACAAAAACAACACCAUGGUAGUUCUGCUGAAAAUAGCGCCAGUCCGGGGUUAGUUUCAUUCAAAUCAUGCAAAUUAGAGUCCAAAACAAGAGGAAAAGCAUUAGGAAAAGUAGAUAGGUUGGAGACGUAUCAACUCCCCCAAGCUUAAACCUUUUCUUGUCCUCAAGCAAUUCAGUUGAAAACUGAAGUGAAAAAUAAAAACUUUUAUGAACUCUUUUGCUCUUGUUUGCAUAAAUAAGCUUAAACAACACCUAGGUUUUCAGCCAACAUUAUAACUAACCAUGCUGACAAUAACUCUUAAAGAUUAUAUUAACUCAUAUCAAUGACAUAAUCAGCUAGCGAGCAAUAAUAAAACAUCUCAAAUGGCAACACGUUGUCAAAACAACAAUGAUAUAAUAUGACAAUAGUGGUAUCUCACUAGCCCUUUCUGAGACCGCAAAACAUAAAUGCAGAGCACCUCCAAAGUCCAAGCAGCGACUAAACAUUGUAAUUCAUGGCAGAAAAGAUCCAGUCAUGAUGCAUCCAACAUUAGCUACACAUAAUGCAUAAGUCAUGACAACUAUGCUAUCUCAGUUUCUAGCGCUUGUUUUAGAAUGUGAUGACACAACAUAAAAGUAAAUAGAUAGUCCUUUCGCAGAGGGAAGCAGUGAUUUGCAGAGGUGCCAGAGCUCAAGUUUUAAAAUAGAGAUAAAUGUUAUUUUGAGACAUGCACCCUUCUCAUUCACUUCACGACUAUCAGUUAUCAAUAUCUCCCAUGCUAAACAAGCUAGUGACGGUUCCCAAGCGGUAAAAGUAAAGGUUUUGACUCCAUUGGGAGUUUUUGUUUGAUUAUUCGAUCGAUUAACUCUUUUUGUAUUUUUCAGUUUGGGAUUUGGCAUCCCUAUUACCGCCCUUUUCUCGUGCGAUGGUGAGUGAAUAAACACUCGAACUGAGAAUAACCCGCUUAGCAUGGAAGAUACCGACCACCUCCUGUCGUUACAUGAACGAUCCAUGCACAUAAAACGGAUAUUUUGUAGAAGUCUUUAGAGAUGGCACAUGCAAAUUUACAUAGGACGGCAGGGUAAUAACGCAUAUAGGUGGAUAUGGUGGACUCAUCUGGAAUAACUUUGGGUUCAAAGUUUUGAUGUAGAAGCAGAAUCCCCACUUAGUACAGGCGAAGGCUAGAAAUUAGACUGAGAAGCGGGCACCUAGAGAGCAACAACAAUCAUGAUCAUGCAUUAUGCACAAGUAGCAUUGGACACUAGCAUGAGUAGGAUAUGAACACCAUGAACAUAAAUAUCAUAGAGGCUAUGUUUGUUUUGAUUCAACUACAUGCAUGAACAUGUGCCAAGUCAAGCCACUUGAACAUUCAGAGGAGGAUACCAUAUCAUCAUACUACAUCACAAUCAUUUUAACGCAAUGUUGAUAUCCAAGAUAAAUCAUUAUUCACUCCCAGCUACUUAUGCAUGGCAUGAGAAACUAUAAUCUCUAAUUGUCAUUGCAAACAUGUUUAAUCAUAAUGGGUUGAAUCAUGGAUAGUAGAUUAAACAUAUUUACACAAACAGAGCAACUCCAGUUCAUACUAGUUUCUCUCUGCCAGGGCCAGUUCAUUGAAUAUCGUCAUUAUUACCUUUCACUUACAUGACCGAACGAUGGGAGAAUAAUAAUAGUGCAAGAGUGCCAUGGACUAAGCUGGAAUCUGCAAAACAUUUUAUUCAACAGGAGAAGACAAGGUAAAACGGGCUCUUUAUUAGUUCAACAAUUAUUCAAAUGAGAGCCACUCAACAUUUUCAUCAUGGUCUUCUCCUUGGUACAACCUGAAUAAAUGAAAAGAAAUUCGGAGAAACACACUGAAAUAUUUUUGGAGUUUUUGGUUUUCUUGAACAAGCAAAUAAAAGUGAAAAGCAAAA
This 34282-nucleotide long non-coding RNA is filed under the name Triticum aestivum (bread wheat). RNAcentral's name for it is "long non-coding RNA (TAES_LNC014787)". The record is from RNAcentral. Lineage: Eukaryota; Viridiplantae; Streptophyta; Magnoliopsida; Poales; Poaceae.